RNAcentral lists this ribosomal RNA (438 nucleotides) under uncultured eukaryote. RNAcentral's name for it is "SSU rRNA". It matches the Rfam family "Eukaryotic small subunit ribosomal RNA", at positions 293 to 736 of the family's 1831-position model. The record is from RNAcentral.
AGUCAUUCAAGUUUCUGCCCUAUCAGCUUUUGGAUGGUAGUGUAUUGGACUACCAUGGCAGUCACGGGUAACGGAGAAUUAGGGUUCGAUUCCGGAGAGGGAGCCUGAGAAACGGCUACCACAUCUACGGAAGGCAGCAGGCGCGCAAAUUGCCCAAUCCUGACACGGGGAGGCAGUGACAAGAAAUAACAACUCUAGGAUUUCUUAGAAGUGUAAUGAGGAUAAUUUACAAACCUUACCGAAUGCAAUUGGAGGGCAAGUCUGGUGCCAGCAGCCGCGGUAAUUCCAGCUCCAAUAGCGUAUAUUAAAGUUGUUGCAGUUAAAAAGCUCGUAGUUGAAGUUCUGAUUGCUCAGGUUUCCAGCCUUAGGCGGAGAUACUGACAGUCAUCCGCUUGCAAACAUAUGUUCGAUCUUCACCGGUUGGCUAUGUGAGUAAGC